This is a long non-coding RNA of Triticum dicoccoides, 1067 nucleotides long. RefSeq lists it as uncharacterized. The record is from RefSeq and is a predicted model, not a curated record. The transcript has 2 exons. NCBI's taxonomy places the organism in Eukaryota, Viridiplantae, Streptophyta, Magnoliopsida, Poales, Poaceae.
CCACGUCCUCCCAUCCCACCCCUUUCCCUCCGAAACCUCCCAGUCCCACACCGCAUCUUCUCUUCUCCCAAGUCCCAACAACUUCUUCGCCGCCGCCGCCAUGCGCCAACAGCGCUGUCGCCCGUUGACCCGGCUGCGCCCUCACCCUCGUCGCUCUCCCUGGCUCGGCAACAUCACCCACUCCCUGCUCUUCCUCCCGACGCGGAAGUGUCCUUUCGGGUCUCGUCUCCGUCUUCGUGGUCCUCAGAUCUGGCAGCCUCCGGCCACAACGCUGCCGGAUCUAACCAACCAAUAGGUGCUCGACGCCGCUCCUCAGGACCGCGUCGGUCUUCUUCGUCUGCUCUCUCUCUCCCUCAACCUCCCACGGCAUGUAUCGGCCCCUUCUGAAACUCCUCAUCCGAGUGGCCACCUGAUGCCGCCGUGUAGAACACGCUCACUCCUGCCUUUGCCCACCUGUACCAGGAUUUGCUCCUGUGGUUCAAGUUGAAUACCGGGGAGAUGGAGAUGGUGACAUGGCUGGCUUCUGUGGUGGUGAGGUUCAAGGUCUACAACGAGGUCAUGGUUGUUUGCAUGUCUGUUUAGAUCUAUUUUUUGUGUGUACGGUUGAAAAACAAAGCCAUGCCUAUUAGUUUGGAAAAUAAAGUCAAGCUUAUGUGUUAAAAAUAGUUUGAUUAACUAGCAAGUGGCCAUUUUGCAACGGUGAGAUGAGCUAGCUAGCUUGUGUGAUGCAUGUAUGUUUGGUCAAGGCUAGCUAGCUGCAGCAGUUUGACUAGUACGUAAGAGAAGAGACACUAUGUCAGCAUGUGCAAUCAGAAUCGGGAUGUAUACUUCACACUAUUGUAUAACUUAACUAGCAGUCCUCCAUUCAUGUAGAUUAGUACGUACAUUUCUUUUUUUUUUCCAAGUUUUUUCAUCUCGCUUUUGCUUUUCUUUUCAGUAUUUUGUAUUUCUGUAACAUUUAGCUCCUGUUCCUAAGGCUGAUGCAUCCAUUGACAUGUCAACAUCAUGUCCUGUGUGUUCUUUCUCCAAGAUGUAGUGCGGGGUUCUUAUUUGAUGUUAUUCGAAAA